Long non-coding RNA from Cryptotermes secundus, 1435 nucleotides. RefSeq lists it as uncharacterized. The transcript has 3 exons. NCBI's taxonomy places the organism in Eukaryota, Metazoa, Arthropoda, Insecta, Blattodea, Kalotermitidae. The record is from RefSeq and is a predicted model, not a curated record.
ACGCCAUGAUCUUUCGAAACAAAGAUAAUGUAAGGAACAAGUAGACUUAACACCGUGUAACCGUGGUAAACAUCAAAGUGGUUCAUCAAUCUUUUACGAUUUCAGUUUCAAGUUUUGCUGAGGUCGAAGUGAAGUUUUGAAUUAAUGAUCUGUAAGCGGGCUCCUGCAAACGUCGUCAGCUUCUCAGUGAGAAACCUGCUGUCGAAGGAAGAGUUCGUGGGUUUAAAUGGAUUACACAGAGAAGACAAAAUGUCUGUAUAAUGUCGAUACAUAAUGACAGACUCAGGAAAUUGAAUUAAUCGAACUUACGCCAUAUUAAUACAAACUGACUGUUGUCUAACACAGGCGGAGAGUGAAACUAGUCAGAGGAAAAUUAAUUCACUACGGUAUCUGAAAAUAGUAAACUCUUGCAAUGUGCAGACUUCCUUUGUGGUAACAUCUUCGGAAGUUUCGUGCAGGACAUCACGUUGUUACCAUAGCUCGUCGUGAAGACCGGACUUUGUGCCAAAAAUGGCCAGCCUAUGCUGCCAGUAGUGCAGUGCAGUGUUAGAAGUGAGUAUAUAUAUAUAUUGUAUCAUAUUCUGCAUUGAUUGCUUCAUCAUCUUUGGAGAACCAAACUGCACCGUAUAGGUAACAUUUCUCUAGGCUACACAGCUACAGAUUACGGUCUUCCGGGAUGUGAUGCCGUGUAAUUUGGUAAAGAGAACAACGUUUCGAAGGAACCUGCUAUCUCCAUCUUCAGAAUUUAAGUGUCACUGCUACAGUUUGCAAAGCAGCGCAGUGUUCGUACUGUACAUUCUUUGCAAGGAAAACAACACGUGUAAGAAAAAAGCCACGCAUAGUACAACCUUUUCUCUAGCUUUUUAGAAUACCGGAUGAUGGACACUGCCCACAAACCAUGGAGGCAUUCAGAGCACUGGAGGACCGAUAUGGAGACCGACAUAUGCCCAUAAGGCGUCGCAGAUGCCUGGAGAAACAGACCCAGGGCAAUGGUGGGUCCCGGCAGAAGGUGGCCGUCAGCCACGGACGGUUGACCCGGAUUCCAGUUUCUGCGUUGAGUAAGGAAUAUGGUUUUAGGGGACCUAGCAAGACACCUGGCAACAGAAUCAGAGGAUGAAGCAGGAGACAUUUUAUGAGGCCCUGGGACAAACAGUCGGGCUGGAGAUUGUGAAGUGAACAGUCAGGUCUUCUGUGAGGAUUCAGAAAAAGAGUGUGAAUCCAUUGUGUGGAAGAUGGCCACUGCUGAAGUGGAAAAAGUUACUGCAGGCAGCUUAAGGGGCAGAAAUGUAGGAGCGCCGGUCACUCUGGGAAGUUUUGCCCACACCAACCAGAAAGGAAGAAAUGAUGGAACAUGAUACUGUGCUACUCUGCACUAGGAGUGACAAGGUCUGAUGCCAUCCUGUACAGACGCUAAUGUGCAGAAGCAGGGCACAUG